This 253-nucleotide ribosomal RNA is filed under the name uncultured bacterium. RNAcentral's name for it is "partial 16S ribosomal RNA". It matches the Rfam family "Bacterial small subunit ribosomal RNA", at positions 524 to 776 of the family's 1533-position model. The record is from RNAcentral.
UACGUAGGGGGCGAGCGUUGUCCGGAAUCAUUGGGCGUAAAGAGCGUGUAGGCGGCUUGGCAAGUCUGACGUGAAAGCCCGCGGCUCAACCGCGGAUUGUCGUUGGAAACUGCCUCGCUAGAGUCCGGAAGAGGAGAGCGGAAUUCCUGGUGUAGCAGUGGAAUGCGCAGAUAUCAGGAAGAACACCCGUGGCGAAGGCGGCUCUCUGGGACGGUACUGACGCUGAGACGCGAAAGCGUGGGGAGCGAACAGG